UGACCCGGCGAUGUCCGAAUGGGGAAACC
This 29-nucleotide small RNA is filed under the name Bombyx mori (domestic silkworm). RNAcentral describes it as "ovarian small RNA-31566". Lineage: Eukaryota; Metazoa; Arthropoda; Insecta; Lepidoptera; Bombycidae. The record is from RNAcentral.